UACGUAGGGAGCAAGCGUUGUCCGGAAUCAUUGGGCGUAAAGCGCGCGUAGGCGGCCUCAUAAGUCCGUUGUGAAAGUCAAAGGCUCAACCUUUGAAAGCCGAUGGAUACUGUGAGGCUAGAGUUCGGAAGAGGCGAGUGGAAUUCCUGGUGUAGCGGUGGAAUGCGCAGAUAUCAGGAGGAACACCAAUAGCGAAGGCAGCUCGCUGGGACGAUACUGACGCUAAGGCACGAAAGCGUGGGGAGCGAACAGG
This 253-nucleotide ribosomal RNA is filed under the name uncultured bacterium. RNAcentral's name for it is "partial 16S ribosomal RNA". It matches the Rfam family "Bacterial small subunit ribosomal RNA", at positions 524 to 776 of the family's 1533-position model. The record is from RNAcentral.